CAGAACGCUGUUUUUUUACGCAGCAAUCGCAAGGCACACAGGAACGAAAAGAAAAUUCUAGGGUUCUAUACAAAACUAAUUCUUGGACUCAGAAUCGAUUGUUUGACUAGUGUCAAUUGGACUGGGGCCUGCGUAUUGGCUUGAGAAGGUUUGAGGUGCACAUACAAUAUUCAACAUUUAGUUCAGGCUAAACGGGGGUAGCAAUUCAGACGUGAACUUGGAUUUCUUGCAGUCACAGCAGCAACUGUGCUCAGUCCCUGAUACUAACGCAACACUAGCAAAUCUUGAUGACAUGACACCAUCAACAUUCGACUGUCAGUACCAUGUUAACCUUAUCUCUGGAAAAGGGUUGCUUGUUUUAGACCAGGUCUUAGCAACUGGGGAUGACAAUACUAGAGAAAUGGUGCAAACUUAUGUGGAUGAUCCAUCUGGUUUUUUAAUGAUUUUAAAAAAUCCAUGAUCAAAAUGUGAAGCUUGGCACCAUUGUAGACAAUAAAUUGCGUCGAGAAAAUAAUUGAGACCGAAAAAUAUCGCAACAAUUGUAGUAUUUGAUUUCAAAUAAUAUAAGUAUACAAUCUUUAUGAAUCCUCUGAUUUUACUUUUCCAGUAUAAA
This is a long non-coding RNA of Nicotiana tabacum (common tobacco), 613 nucleotides long. RefSeq lists it as uncharacterized. Lineage: Eukaryota; Viridiplantae; Streptophyta; Magnoliopsida; Solanales; Solanaceae. The record is from RefSeq and is a predicted model, not a curated record.